ACGGGGUGCAGCAGGCGCGAAACCUUUGCAAUGUGCGCAAGCACGACAAGGUUAAUCCGAGUGUUUCCUGCUAAAGGAAUCCUUUGUUAGUCGUAAAACCACUGAUGAAUAAGGGGUGGGCAAGUUCUGGUGUCAGCCGCCGCGGUAAAACCAGCACCUCAAGUGGUCAGGAGGAUUAUUGGGCCUAAAGCAUCCGUAGCCGGCUCUGCAAGUUUUCGGUUAAAUCCAUUUGCUUAACAAAUGGGCUGCCGAAAAUACUACAUAGCUAGGGAGUGGGAGAGGUAGACGGUAUUCGGUAGGAAGGGGUAAAAUCCUUUGAUCUAUUGAGGACCGCCUAUGGCGAAGGCAGUCUACCAGAACACGUUCGACGGUGAGGGAUGAAAGCUGGGGGAGCAAACCGGAUUAGAUACCCGGGUAGUCCCAGCUGUAAACGAUGCAGACUCGGUGAUGCACUGGCUUGUGGCCAGUGCAGUGCCGCAGGGAAGCCGUUAAGUUUGCCGCCUGGGAAGUACGUACGCAAGUAUGAAACUUAAAGGAAUUGGCGGGGGAGCAC
This 553-nucleotide ribosomal RNA is filed under the name uncultured Nitrososphaerota archaeon. RNAcentral's name for it is "bacterial SSU rRNA". It matches the Rfam family "Archaeal small subunit ribosomal RNA", at positions 325 to 879 of the family's 1478-position model. The record is from RNAcentral. Lineage: Archaea; Thermoproteati; Nitrososphaerota.